RNAcentral lists this long non-coding RNA (809 nucleotides) under Mytilus galloprovincialis (Mediterranean mussel). Lineage: Eukaryota; Metazoa; Mollusca; Bivalvia; Mytilida; Mytilidae. The record is from RNAcentral.
AAGCCUCGGUCACACCUUACCGGAUAGCUUGAACGGACGCCUAACGGAUAACUUUUUUUCAAUCCGUUCAUGUCCGUUAGACGUCCGUUCUUAUCCGUUAGGCGUCCGUCCAUAUCCGUUAGGCGUCCGUUAAGCGUCCGUUUUAUCCGUUGACGUCCGUUCUGUCCGGUGGAAAAUUUUGAGCAUGUUCAAAACUUUGAACGGACGUCCAACGGAUAAAAUGUCCGUUGAACGUCCGUUAGUCGUCCGUUAGUCGUCCGUUUUGUACGGUACUCGUCCGUUUUGUAUCCGUUACGUGUCCGUUAUGCAUCCGUUGGAGAUCCGGUAGACCAAUUCACCAACGGACGUCUACCGGACGCCUAACGGACGCCUAACGGAUAAAACGGAUGUAAAACGGACAUUAACGGAAGGAUAACGGAUAAAACGGAUGCCUACCGGAUGUAAAACGGACAAAUGCCAACUGAAAUUUCUCAUGGGUUAUUGCCUUUAAUUUUUAGAGGGUUUAUUGCCUUUAUUUUUCAGAUUAUUUUGUUCAUCCGUUUUAUCCGUUACGCUUCCGUUAGGUGUCCGUUUUAUCCGGUACUCGUCCGUUGGAUGUACGUUCGACGUCCGUUCUGUCCGGUACGUAUCCGUUUCACGUACGUUCAAUGUCCGUUGUGUGUCCGUUAGGCAUUCGUUACAUGUCCGUUAGUACACCAACAGACUCCCAACGGAUAAAAAUUGUGUCAACGGAUAACUUUUUUUUUAUCCGUUAGGCGUCCGUUCGAGCUAUCCGGUAAGGUGUGACCGAGGCUAAAGCAACAAAAACA